This 32-nucleotide non-coding RNA is filed under the name Homo sapiens (human). Lineage: Eukaryota; Metazoa; Chordata; Mammalia; Primates; Hominidae. The record is from RNAcentral.
UGGAGCUGUGUCCUUGAUGCCUUAACCUAAUC